CAAGUAUGCAAUAAUUUUAAGACAUGGUAUAGGUAAUCAGUUAUAUGAAAGUGAAUGUAACAGCCUCUGUCCAUAACACUGAUUUCAAUUAUUUCGAUUUUUUUUUUGGGGGGGGAGGUAACCAUUGCUUUCAUGACUUGCUUGAUACUUAUCUAUUUACUAAUCAAGUAUCGUAAACCGCAGGCAUGAUAGAUAAUGCACCAUUAAGACUAUAAGAUCAGUAGAUUGAAGGUAACUUAAUAUUGAAAAUUUAGAAAUUAUUGUGUGCAUUUUUUAUUUGAUUUUUGGAGAAAAGACCAAAACCUUUCAUAAUUUUGUUUAAACAUCAAACCCUUCAUUCGCUUAUUAUUACCAUUAUGUCUCUCAUUUUUACACGAAUUGCU
This 383-nucleotide long non-coding RNA is filed under the name Mytilus galloprovincialis (Mediterranean mussel). The record is from RNAcentral. Lineage: Eukaryota; Metazoa; Mollusca; Bivalvia; Mytilida; Mytilidae.